Molecule: ribosomal RNA, 484 nt
Filed under: uncultured bacterium
Lineage: Bacteria
Description: partial 16S ribosomal RNA
Rfam family: Bacterial small subunit ribosomal RNA
Source: RNAcentral
AUUGAACGCUAGCGGGAUGCUUUACACAUGCAAGUCGAACGGCAGCGCGGACUUCGGUCUGGCGGCGAGUGGCGAACGGGUGAGUAAUGUAUCGGAACGUGCCCAGUAGCGGGGGAUAACUACGCGAAAGCGUAGCUAAUACCGCAUACGCCCUACGGGGGAAAGCAGGGGAUCGUAAGACCUUGCACUAUUGGAGCGGCCGAUAUCGGAUUAGCUAGUUGGUGAGGUAACGGCUCACCAAGGCGACGAUCCGUAGCUGGUUUGAGAGGACGACCAGCCACACUGGGACUGAGACACGGCCCAGACUCCUACGGGAGGCAGCAGUGGGGAAUUUUGGACAAUGGGGGCAACCCUGAUCCAGCCAUCCCGCGUGUGCGAUGAAGGCCUUCGGGUUGUAAAGCACUUUUGGCAGGAAAGAAACGUCGCGGGCUAAUCCCCCGUGGAACUGACGGUACCUGCAGAAUAAGCACCGGCUAACUACGUG